Molecule: transfer RNA, 355 nt
Filed under: uncultured Microcystis sp.
Lineage: Bacteria; Bacillati; Cyanobacteriota; Cyanophyceae; Chroococcales; Microcystaceae
Description: partial 16S-23S ribosomal RNA intergenic spacer
Rfam family: tRNA (bases 133-206)
Source: RNAcentral
AAGGGAGACCUAAUUCGGGUAUAAGACGAAAAAAGAGUAGUCGAAACCAAGAAUCAAUCCCAAAAGGUCGGAACGAGGUAUGUGGCUUUCAAACUAGGUUCUGGAUUCACACAAGACCUGAAUCAGGAACAAGGGCUAUUAGCUCAGGUGGUUAGAGCGCACCCCUGAUAAGGGUGAGGUCCCUGGUUCGAGUCCAGGAUGGCCCACCUGCACAGGUGGCAAAAACAAAGAAGCGAGGAAUCAGCACCUUAUCUUAUCUAUAUAUAAGAGAGAAUGCUGGCUCUGAGUAAAGAGUCCAGAGGAACCUUGAAAACUGCAUAGAGCUAGGUGAAAAAGCCAAAAAAGAAGACCGCAA